AGACAGGGUCUUGCUCUGUUGCCCAAGAUGGGAUGCAGUGAUACAAUCAUAGCUCACUGCAGCCUCCAACUCCUGAACUCAAGCAAUCCUCCAAGCAGCUAAGAUUACAGCCCACGUUUCCAUCCCUCCAGUCAGCUCGCGCCCUCCUCCAGGUUUUCCCGCACAGACCUUGGAGGGCAGCGUGGAAACUGAGUAACUGCAAGCAAGCUGAGGUGAGCUGCACGUUCCGCAUGGACGCCCUCAAGCGUGAUUCCCAAUUCCAAGACCCCGCGUCCCCACCGCCCGCUGACGAGGAUGAUACCUGUGAGCACCGCUCCUCUCCAGGGGCCCGUUCAGUCACUCCGUCCAGUUCUGAGAGGAGCCGCGGAAUCGCUGUCUUGGACAGUGAAGGGAGCCGGCGUUGGUAAUCACGCUGCAACUAGGAACCCCUGACCUCGCCGAACCCUCAACUCACUGCCGGCUCCGAGUUUCAUAAAUUGCCACGGAACAACCUAGACUCACUCUUGCGCACGCGCACCAGCUGUGGAAGGAACCCCCAGGAGCCCCCGCGACCCGGAUCUGUAAGUGGCAAUGGAUGCAGCAAUAUUCAGUUUCCAGAAUCAGCAGCUCCGGCAGCAGUGUCCUGUCCUGAUGGUGUUGGCAGGUAAAUCAUGCUUCUGGUGCUGAAUAGAAGUCUUGUCCUCAUAGAACCAAUUCUGUGGUACAAUUUUGGUCUGUGGUUCUGGCUACAUGACUCGAAUAUUAUUUCAAUAUUUUUACUUUUAGCUUAAAUCAUGCUUAGUUUCUGUUACUUGAAACUAAAAGCCCUGACUGAUACAUCAUCAUUAUGAUGAUUUCUAGGUGUAUGUAUUAAAUAUGUUUUCAUUAGAAUUUUUUUGUCUUUAUUUUCCCCUUCCCUCCCUAGCAUGUAGUGGUUUCAUGCAGACAGCUUUGUGAAGAAGCCUCAUUGGCAUCUAUUUUGGUGGAAUGAGUGGGAACAUAAUUCUCAGGGUGUCAGUAAUCCAUCGCUGCAUACAGACCAUUUCAAAAUUUAGUGCUUUAAAAUAGCAAUCGUUUUAUUUUGCUCAGGAGUGUGUUUGAAAUUUGGUCAGAGGGGAUGGCAGUUAUCAUUAAUGCCAAUAUUUAAGAUAUGACCAUGGGAAUGAGUAGCUGAAAUCAUUGGAGAAGCGAGGAUUAAGGAAUCUCAGAAUGCAAACUAUUUGAAUAUUUCGUUCUAUGGGAAAAUUAAAAUAACCAACAACUAUAACACAAGAGCAGUAUCUUCAGGAGAGUGGCAGUGAGUCAGGGGCUAGAAUCUGCAAGGAAUGGGUGGGGGAGUAGCCUAAGCAUCUAAAAUAAAAUAAAAUGAAUAAAACCCCCACAAUCCCACUUUCCUAACCAUACCUCAUUUCCUCCUCCCUCAUGGUAAAACAUCUCCAAAUGUCUGUUUACAUUUUCUUAUUUUUCCUCUAUUCACUGAAAUAGAUCUCAUCUAGAUCAUAACCAGCAGCCAAAGUUACCAAAUUCAACUAAAAAUUUCCUAUCCUUCUCUAUUAUCACCUCAACUAACACAUAUCAUUUGAAUGAAGGUUUUCAGUGAUUAUCAUACCCUAGAUUAAAGUUUGCCUAUUGUGAUACAGUUCCAGUAAAUUUUUAAAAGAUAGUAAAAAAAUGUGUAUUAAUAUACGUUAUGUCUCAGUCAUUACUCUGAGUAUAUCAAAUACACUCAGAGUUGGAUAAGAUAAAAUGAAAUAAGAGAUCAAUAGCUGGUUUUAAAAUGGACACAUGUAUACAUGAAUU
Molecule: long non-coding RNA, 1779 nt
Organism: Pongo pygmaeus (Bornean orangutan)
Lineage: Eukaryota; Metazoa; Chordata; Mammalia; Primates; Hominidae
Exons: 3
Source: RefSeq, a predicted model, not a curated record